This 254-nucleotide ribosomal RNA is filed under the name uncultured bacterium. RNAcentral describes it as "partial 16S ribosomal RNA". It matches the Rfam family "Bacterial small subunit ribosomal RNA", at positions 524 to 776 of the family's 1533-position model. The record is from RNAcentral.
UACGUAGGGUCCGAGCGUUGUCCGGAUUUAUUGGGCGUAAAGAGCUCGUAGGCGGUUCCGUAAGUCAGAUGUGAAAACUCAGGGCUCAACCCGGAGACGCCAUCUGAUACUGCGGUGCCUGGAGUCUGGUAGGGGAACACGGAAUUCCUGGUGUAGCGGUGAAAUGCGCAGAUAUCAGGAGGAACACCGAUGGCGAAGGCAGUGUUCUGGGCCAGUACUGACGCUGAGGAGCGAAAGCGUGGGGAGCAAACAGG